CAGUCGCCACGGGAAUAUGGAGGGUGCAAGCGUUAAUCGGAAUUACUGGGCGUAAAGCGUGCGUAGGCGGUGAGUUAAGUCUGCUGUGAAAUCCCCGGGCUCAACCUGGGAAUGGCAGUGGAUACUGGCUCGCUAGAGUGUGUCAGAGGAUGGUGGAAUUCCCGGUGUAGCGGUGAAAUGCGUAGAGAUCGGGAGGAACAUCAGUGGCGAAGGUGGCCAUCUGGGACAACACUGACGCUGAGGCACGAAAGCGUGGGGAGCAAACAGGAUUAGAUACCCCCGUAGUCCCUGUCUCUUAUAC
Molecule: ribosomal RNA, 301 nt
Filed under: uncultured bacterium
Lineage: Bacteria
Description: partial 16S ribosomal RNA
Rfam family: Bacterial small subunit ribosomal RNA
Source: RNAcentral